AAAUUAAGGGCAACAUUAGUAUUUCGCUGUUUAAAAUUAGUUUUCUCAAUUGAUUAAAAGAAAAAAAUCCGGUUUGCAAAAUAAAAAGGAAAUUAACAAAAAUAUCGAACUCUGAUGCAAAUUCAAAACAAAAGGUCCCUAAUGGAAUGGCAAAAUCAAAAGCGCAAACACAUCAAAUAAAUGGAUAACUGUCAGAUUCUUGACUUAGUACAGACAUUUCAAUAUGUAGAGCACGGUGGAUUAAACCCAGUUUUAUAGCUAGCUUAACCUCUCACUUGUAUGACAGUCGCAAGGAAUGUUAUAUAUUAUCAACAAUGUGUGAACAAAACAAACGGACAUUAUAGGUAAAAAUGUAAAAAAAAAAAAUAGGGAUACCACGGUCAACAUUGGGAUAUCAUUUCAAUUACGUUAAAAACAAACAAAAACUGUCAAAAAAGAAAAACAAAGAAAAACAAAGAAAAACAAAAUAAAAUAUAGACAAAGCACACCAACAAAAAUAAAAGACAAGAAUACAAAAAAACCAACAGCACAACACAUUGACAGGAUGCAGAAUUAUCGAGCCACGCCAAAAGCGCAUUACAAAAAAUGACUCAACAGUUAUACUUAAAAAAGACAAAUAAAAAAGCCCACUAAAACAUGUAAUUAUAAGACGAUAAACAAACAACGUCAGCACCGAUAAGCUAUACGUCAAGACCAUCCUGUACUAUUUGUGAAGUUCAUACGGAAUAUUUAUUAAAAAGGUCUUGAUCUCUUCC
This 755-nucleotide long non-coding RNA is filed under the name Mytilus galloprovincialis (Mediterranean mussel). Lineage: Eukaryota; Metazoa; Mollusca; Bivalvia; Mytilida; Mytilidae. The record is from RNAcentral.